AUAAAGGGAGCUGCAGGCUGCGUGGCUCGUUCUUUUACGUCGGGAAGCUGAGGUUUUUCCUAUGUCUGAACAAUGACGCCAUCGUUUUCUGGGUCUUCGAAGCAGUUGCAAAGAAAUGCCCAGAUGGAGGACAGAGGGCCAAACCACCCCAGUGAAUUCAUAACAGGAGAUAACUUGCUUAAGACCUGACUGUUUUUAAAAGGGCCAGUGACACAAGUGAGAAUUGGAUGUUAUGACCGUCCAGAAAAGACAAGAUGAGAAAGUGCAGUAUUGACUGUCUUCAAACGCACCUGUCCUUGCUCAAGUGCUGGGAUUGUGUGCCAACGGCUAUGAUAGAUAUGAAUAGAGCACGAGAUAAUGUGCUUACAGAAAGUUGGUUGAAUUGAAUGCAAUUAAUGUUUGGAGGCACUUAGUCUUCUAGUGUUUGAAUGUGGAUGGAAUUAAAGCUGGGUUUGUAGUGAGCCAUUAGGAUUAUGGCAAAUGUCUAGUGUACAGAAUUCAGUGUAGGCCGGGAGUUGAGACUGGUGUGUGUUUAGUGGAUUAUCUGAUCAGCACAUGUGUGACAGUGUUGAUCACAAGUCAUUGCCAGCUCUGUUCAUUUUCUUCCCUGGUCUAACUCAAUAAUUGCCAUCAUGAAAAUUCUGGGUGACUUUUGUGACUAAAGUCCCAUUGUAAGCCACAUUCUUUGUCCAGCAGUGCUCACUGACUGCUGAAAUAAAUGUUCAUUUGCAACAAC
RNAcentral lists this non-coding RNA (736 nucleotides) under Cricetulus griseus (Chinese hamster). RNAcentral describes it as "lncRNA (ENSCGRG00015039209.1)". It matches the Rfam family "growth arrested DNA-damage inducible gene 7". The record is from RNAcentral. Lineage: Eukaryota; Metazoa; Chordata; Mammalia; Rodentia; Cricetidae.